Molecule: microRNA precursor, 94 nt
Organism: Laticauda laticaudata (blue-ringed sea krait)
Lineage: Eukaryota; Metazoa; Chordata; Lepidosauria; Squamata; Elapidae
Source: Ensembl
CUCUGGGGCAGUCUGCUACUCUUUCUUUGUUGCGCUCCUGUCCAGCAUCACCUCUAGCAGUGCAAUAAUGAAAGGGCAUCAGCCACUCCACAAA